UCAAUACUACAACUAACCUUCCUUUUCUCUAAAAGUUCAUAUCCCGUCUCAAUUACUUAAACAACUUUUCCAUCUAACCAAACUUCCUUCCAACAUCUUAUAGUUGUUUAUCCUUUUUUAUUAGAUUUCAUUUUUGUCUAGUUUUCUGCACUUUUUUAACCAAAACAUUUUUCUGCAACCUAAAGCACAAUCAAAAGAAGAAAAUAAAAUAACAUAAUUUAUUUCAUAAAAAUUAUAUAUAAAAAAAAAACAUCCCCCCUAUUGUUAAGAAACUACAAAAGCCCCUCCUUCACUACUAAUUUUUGCAACAGCUGUUGGAACUUUCACUUUUAAUACCAACUCAACUUGAAUCAAAGGAAACAAAUGUUAUCAUGAGUUUGAUUUAAAUACAGCUUCAUUCUAACUGUUGAAGAUGAAGUUUGUUCAUUCAGCGGCAUCUCUACCAUGCAAUCUGAUUGGUCUUUCGGCAGAGAAUUUUUUUUCGUUUCAACGACCGUAAUUUCCUUGGUUAAAUGCAUAUGCAUUCGAGCAGAACCUACAAAUAGUGCUCAAGAAGCAAUGCAACUUUUGACAUCAUAAUUUUUAUUUACUUUGAUUUGUUCAUUGUAAGUGAACCUCAGUUUGUGAUGGAUAUGCGUGCAUUGGGAUACAGAGCAAAAUAGUGGGCAUGUUAUCAAACUUUAGUGAUCAUAAUUCAGUAAUGUUUCUUGAAGCAGGAGUUAAUGGCAACACUCAGCAACCUUUGACUCGAAGAAUUUUUGAACACAUCAUUGAAAUUCUUCACUUCAUAUGAAUAUGAUGUUUGUCAUUGUUAUGAUGUGCUAUGCUCAAAAUUUGUAGGAGAGAGAGAGACAUUGACUAUUUUAAGUUUAAAUAUUAAAUAAAUUAUGAAAUGUAUGGGAUUAAAAAUAAAAGUAGUUUAUCUACAAUAUUUUUGAAAAUAAUAACUACAGAGAACAGUUUGAUGAAGGAAGCAAACUCAUCAUCAAUGAAUGAAAGGACUAAUGCAACUGAAAAGAUGGAAUCUAAUCUCUCGUCAAUUCCUGAACCAUUACCACAAACUAUGAUUGGACUUGCAUCAUCGCCGCAGCAAGACAUAAUACUUUCUAAUCCUCCUCAAAGUCACAUUAUCGCAAUACUAAUGGAUGAUAUUGGAUUCACCUGAGCCUCCCUAAGGCUAAAUUUCUAUCUCCUAGUUAUAUGUUCACAUGUACUGACUUCACGUGUACUAAGGAAUGAUUUAUACAAAAUAAUUUUCUUAAAUAUGUAAGGAAUGAUUGUUUCAAGUAA
Long non-coding RNA from Vicia villosa (hairy vetch), 1290 nucleotides. RefSeq lists it as uncharacterized. NCBI's taxonomy places the organism in Eukaryota, Viridiplantae, Streptophyta, Magnoliopsida, Fabales, Fabaceae. The record is from RefSeq and is a predicted model, not a curated record. The transcript is spliced from 4 exons.